Molecule: long non-coding RNA, 3994 nt
Organism: Hylaeus volcanicus
Lineage: Eukaryota; Metazoa; Arthropoda; Insecta; Hymenoptera; Colletidae
Exons: 2
Source: RefSeq, a predicted model, not a curated record
UGAACAAGUGGCUUUAAAACUCCGACAAUGAUAGCCUAUUUCGUCGUUUUCACGUCGAUUGCUGUUAUAAAAAGCUCGCUAUCGUUAUCGAUGGCAUAUGCGCUUGUGACCGGUUAAUUGCUCCAAAGAAGAUUAUUUCCUGUCACUAUCUCUACAAGUAGCUUUAUAAAAUGCAAUGUUUCAUUGCUUCCUAUUCUUUCUCUUAAAGUCCGCCUUAUGAUUAUAAUUUCAUUUAUUUAACGAAUCUAUUCGACAUAUUAAGAAACAGAAAUAAAAGUGCACAAAAGAAUGAUGGAUUUUGUUGAAACAAGAUAAAAGGAUCAAAUCCAAUGUCCUUAACUUAUGAUUCAAUUUAAUAAGAAUAUGAAAAGUAUGUAACGCCAACGCAAAAGAAACAAAUUACAUUAUGAUGUUUCUUGUUUUCCACACAUAUCUUAAUAACUAAGCCUGUUGUAAAUACAACAGUUUCAACAGUAUACGACCUUGUGAUUGUCGGUUGUUUCGAAAUAUAAUUGUCGAUACAUUGGUUCGGAUGUUUUCAUUGUUAUUUAUGAGAAUGCUAAACUUUUUCCUUCUUUUCCCAUCAGUUCCUAUCACCCAAGUAAGUGAUAAAGGAUUUGUUAAACAAACCAAGGUUAUAACAACCAAAAAGACAUUAAAAUCUUGAAUGGACUUGUUAAUAAGUGUCGAAAUAUCAAAUAUUCAUUUUGCACUAUUAUAGAAAACAAAAUAAAUUCGUUGUACUUUUGAUAGUUUCUCAUCUAACAGAAAUAAUAACAUCCUUCUUGUACAAUCAUUUUAGCAAACAAUUUCUUAUAUGUUACCUAAAUAACUUCAAUGGUAACAUUUAUAUUGACUCUCGAGAUAAAAUCAACUGUAAAAUAAAGAGUGGAUAUGUAAAUGAAUAAUAGCUUGAAAUAUUUCUCGUUUAUGAAAUCCUAUCAUUACAAUGGAUUUGGUUAACUGGAGCACAUCUUGAUGGCCCCUAAGGAAUUCGCGAGGCAUUAUAAUGGAGUGGAGGCAUCUGGAAAGAUGGCCAUCGAUACGACGUCAAUUGAAUGCAAGAACGCGAAAGUAUCUUCGCCACGCGCGACUGCUUUGCGCUUCCUCGAACCACCACAUUUCGUAACCUGCGUUUAAUACGGAUGUCAACAUACAUCGAGAGGCCAAACAAAUAAACCGAAGACAACGAACGAUUUCGCGAACCGUUGGACGCGUAUUGCUAUGAACAAAACGUACCAGAAAUCAACAACGAUCCAGCAAUCCGCGCUACACGCACUUUUUCGUUAAAUAAGUAAGCUCCAGAUUACUUAUUUACGUUCAUUGUUUUAACUAACGUUACCCAUUUAAGAUCCUGUAUUUAUUUCGCUGGAAAUCAAAUGAAAGCACUCAGAACCCUCAUAGAAAGUUUCUAAAUUAAAAAAAUUACUGAGAAAGGCAUGUGGCGAAAAUUAAAUUUGUUUUACCUUUCAUAAUUUCUCAUCUAAUAGAAAUAAUAAUAUCUUUCUUGCAUAAUAAUUAUAGCAAACAAUUUCUUAUAUGUUAUCUAAAUAACUUCAAUUGUAACAUUUAUCAGCAAACGAUCUCUUCUAAAUUAAAAUAUUAGGUUGUCCGAAAAGUUUCUUUCGCUUUAUUAAUAAGUAAUACAUGCACAAUAUUUUAUGUUUUAUGUUACAUUACUGAAUUGUGCACGAUUCAUUUCGCUCCAUUACUGUUACAACAUGAAUAUCUAUGAAAUUAGAUUGUCUAUUUAUAUAAACACAACCACAUAAAAUAAUUGAGUGCAACUCGCGAAAGAAACUUUCGGGACAACCUAAUAUAUUCAAACUAGAUACUGUCUUAGAAUUUCUGAGUAACCUAGCCACCCUAAAUUCAAAAAUGAAAUAACUAUUCGCGACGCAAAUUGUUGAUAAUUCAACCCAUUCCAACGGAAAAUCGCGUAGAAUUUGUAUACGCGUCAUCGUGGAUCGCGUUCAUCGCAUACUUCUUGCGAUUCAUCUUGCGCCAGUCCAACCUUGACGGCACAUAGUUGCAUCUCUAAUAGGCGACCGCUCGAGUGGUCGCAAUUAGCGUUACAAAACUAGCUUUAUUACGGCUCUAUGAUUAGCCUCGAUUCUUGUGAAAGCACCCACACAGAGACGCGACACGCCGCCUAACAGUGAAUUCUAAUUUGAUUAAUUGCUUCCAAACACGAACUCGCGCGAAACAGAGUCAGUUGCCAUCCUGCCAGGAGGACGGACGCGUACGGGACAAUUAGGCGAGAACUAGAAUACGUUGAAGCAGUUGCAGCGCAACAAUUCACCUGUUCAGCCCAGAGAAGCUACGAAUGGUGUCUAGAAAUAUCAGACACCAUGGAAAUUCAAAAUACUUCGAUACUCCAAAAUAUUGGGUAAUGUUCUCACUUGAAACGGGUACAAAGGUAGGUUCAGAUUGCAUUUGAAUAUCUAAUUUUGCUUAGUUUUAGCUUGAAGUACUUUUGAAAUUUCGAUAGACCUGGACAAUAAUGUGUAAGACUUGGGAUUUGGGGGAAAAUAUUAUUCUACCUCCUACAGCAAAUUAUGGCGAAGCGUCACGAGUUAGAGCUACUAUGGCAACAUCAGAUCUAGAGCCUGUCGACGCGUUUGAACCUAUAUCUUCCAACAAGAUAAGGUUUCUUGUCACGCUCCAAAGAGAACUAAGGAUUAUUCGUCGAAAAUAAUAUGCCUAAUGCUUCUGAACACAGAUUAAAAAACCAGCAAGUUUCGCGUAGAAUGAAUGUACUUACCAUUGCAAAUGUAUAGCAAAGUGAGAGUAACACGGGACCUCUAUAAAGACAAUACUGGACUGGCGUACACAAUCACGAUAUCGGUAUCAGCGCGUUAUCGUCGUGGACUCGAUAUCUGUGAAAAUCUGGUGGCAUUGUAGAGCUCGUAUUCAGCGAACUCGUUCUAUGACUGUGCAGAAACUUUUUUUUUCGAACACACGAAACAACACUGUGCUACGUGUCUUCUUAGUAUCACAUUGAUGGAACUAUGGUUCACUGAUGAUGGCGCGAGGCACAGAUAGUGGUACACAAUUAAUCAUCCUCGUCGAAUAUCAAGUAUUGGCGUACAUUCUGAUUAACAAUCGAUCACCCAAGUCGAGGAGUUGGCAGAGAAAAGUAUUCCACGCGCAAGAAUUAAAUAUCGCGGCGGAAACACGAAGGAUCUAGGAGGAUAACACGCUCGCAACUUCCGGUCGUGGGAUGAAUCCUCUUCCUCCGAUCGAGGGACUCCUCGAACGCUUUCGAUGCUUUCGAACGGAAUAGAUGGUUUGGUAUAUGAUCACUGAGUGAGACUGAGAGACGAGAGUGAAGUUAAGUGUGUAACAGUGCCAGCAAAGCAAUGCUGAAUGCUGAUAAACCCCUCCAGGCUGUGUCAGGUGUAUACGUACGUAUACACGUGCGUGCGCGCAGGCUAACUUCUUGCAAGGGUAUCCGUGUCCUCCGCGCUCACCGAUGAAGUCAAUAUGCGACACGGUUACGCGUUUACGUGGGUAUUGUUAAAUUCUUGUAUCAGAAUCGCGUAAACAUCGCCGCGUAGACGCGCAGACAUUGAAGAACGUGGCAGACGCGAGUGACGCUCUUGUCUACCGAGCACACCUGUCUCUGGAAAAAACUGUGUAAACAUUGUGGUCUCAAGCCCUUUUCGAUUACACAAGUCUUCCAUGUAUGGAGGCAGUAAUUACAGGACAGUGACUAGAAGUCAUUUUGCUCGUCUUUCCAUGUUGAGAAUUUGCUUGGAAAUUAUUUUAUUUGGUAACGACGAACCGUGAUCGGUGAAAUCGACGUUCAUUUUUAUGAAUUCUCGAUAAAUUGAUUCCGGGAAAAAAUAAGAAACAACAUUAGAAAGAGAAGCAACGUUUCAAUUAGUCUUUCCAUACGCGAAUUUCGAAGUUAAUGUUUGUUUUGCACAGGUGUAAUUGCGACACAGGUGUAAUUACAGGUGUAAUUGUGAAAUAAACGUAUCGUUAUAUA